This 160-nucleotide non-coding RNA is filed under the name Alphaproteobacteria bacterium. RNAcentral's name for it is "6S RNA". It matches the Rfam family "6S / SsrS RNA". From Rfam's summary of the family: E. coli 6S RNA was the first non coding RNA to be sequenced, but its function was unknown until recently. It consists of 184 nucleotides that fold into an extended hairpin structure with a large single-stranded internal bulge. Lineage: Bacteria; Pseudomonadati; Pseudomonadota; Alphaproteobacteria. The record is from RNAcentral.
CGGUUGCUGCCCGGUUCGUCAGGUCGUCAUUACUCCCAGGGGCUAUACCCAUCCUUAGGGAACUGUCCCUGCCGGGGUCUUGGUCCCGGCACACGGUGCCCACCUCGUGAGAGAGGCCCAGGUGGAGAAUACAAAGACCGACGGCCAAGGCGGCUCCGUC